UACAGAGGGUGCGAGCGUUAGUCGGAAUUAUUGGGCGUAAAGGGCGCGUAGGCGGUUGAUUAAGUGAGAUGUGAAAUCCCUGGGCUUAACCUGGGAAUGGCAUUUCAAACUAGUUGGCUAGAGUAUAGUAGAGGUGAGUGGAAUUUCUGGUGUAGCAGUGAAAUGCGUAGAGAUCAGAAGGAACACCGGUGGCGAAGGCGACUCACUGGACUAAUACUGACGCUGAGGCGCGAAGGCGUGGGGAGCAAACAGG
This 253-nucleotide unclassified non-coding RNA is filed under the name uncultured Gammaproteobacteria bacterium. RNAcentral's name for it is "contains 16S-23S intergenic spacer region". It matches the Rfam family "Bacterial small subunit ribosomal RNA", at positions 524 to 776 of the family's 1533-position model. The record is from RNAcentral. Lineage: Bacteria; Pseudomonadati; Pseudomonadota; Gammaproteobacteria.